AGACCCGAAACCCGGUGAUCUAGCCAUGGGCAGGUUGAAGGUUGGGUAACACUAACUGGAGGACCGAACCGACUAAUGUUGAAAAAUUAGCGGAUGACCUGUGGCUGGGGGUGAAAGGCCAAUCAAACCGGGAGAUAGCUGGUUCUCCCCGAAAGCUAUUUAGGUAGCGCCUCGUGAAUUCAUCUCCGGGGGUAGAGCACUGUUUCGGCUAGGGGGCCAUCCCGGCUUACCAACCCGAUGCAAACUGCGAAUACCGGAGAAUGUUAUCACGGGAGACACACGGCGGGUGCUAACGUCCGUCGUGAAGAGGGAAACAACCCAGACCGCCAGCUAAGGUCCCAAAGUCAUGGUUAAGUGGGAAACGAUGUGGGAAGGCCCAGACAGCCAGGAUGUUGGCUUAGAAGCAGCCAUCAUUUAAAGAAAGCGUAAUAGCUCACUGGUCGAGUCGGCCUGCGCGGAAGAUGUAACGGGGCUAAACCAUGCACCGAAGCUGCGGCAGCGACACUCAGGUGUUGUUGGGUAGGGGAGCGUUCUGUAAGCCUGUGAAGGUGGCCUGUGAGGGUUGCUGGAGGUAUCAGAAGUGCGAAUGCUGACAUAAGUAACGAUAAAGCGGGUGAAAAGCCCGCUCGCCGGAAGACCAAGGGUUCCUGUCCAACGUUAAUCGGGGCAGGGUGAGUCGACCCCUAAGGCGAGGCCGAAAGGCGUAGUCGAUGGGAAACGGGUUAAUAUUCCCGUACUUGGUGUUACUGCGAAGGGGGGACGGAGAAGGCUAUGUUGGCCGGGCGACGGUUGUCCCGGUUUAAGCGUGUAGGUGUGUGUUCCAGGUAAAUCCGGUUCACUUUAACACUGAGGCGUGACGACGAGGCACUACGGUGCUGAAGCAACAAAUGCCCUGCUUCCAGGAAAAGCCUCUAAGCAUCAGGUAACAUCAAAUCGUACCCCAAACCGACACAGGUGGUCAGGUAGAGAAUACCAAGGCGCUUGAGAGAACUCGGGUGAAGGAACUAGGCAAAAUGGUGCCGUAACUUCGGGAGAAGGCACGCUGACA
RNAcentral lists this ribosomal RNA (1048 nucleotides) under Salmonella enterica subsp. enterica serovar Virchow. Its description in RNAcentral is "partial 23S ribosomal RNA". It matches the Rfam family "Bacterial large subunit ribosomal RNA", at positions 711 to 1756 of the family's 2925-position model. The record is from RNAcentral. Lineage: Bacteria; Pseudomonadati; Pseudomonadota; Gammaproteobacteria; Enterobacterales; Enterobacteriaceae. RNAcentral also lists the same sequence under 1 other name.